GAUAAAAUAAUUUAAUUAAUUAUCUUAUUUAUUUAUUCAUUUGAAUGAGUGCAAGUAUAUAUUCUUGACACUGAGUGUUGAAAACAGUAAAAAUGGCUAGUUUGGGUUUGUGCUGACGGAGGUGACGACUGUUUUUACUGCCACACUCUUCAUGUGAGUUUCUGAAGAAAGAUGAAAAGAAUGAGGAGGAGGAUUUGAUGGAGACGGAGGAAGCGUCACUUGAAUUACUCUGGAAACAUUUUUGGCCUGGAAGAAAAGGAAAAAGCAAGAAAAACUGUCUACAGCAGAGCAGGACAUGGAGAGAAAGAAAGCUGCAGGUGCUUGGGACACCAGUGACCAAAAGAAACUUGAGCUUGUGAACAACUUGAAAGUUGUGAAAAGAAACAUGGAGAGGCUGAAAAGAAGAAAGCAAAGACA
Megalobrama amblycephala (Wuchang bream) is the source of this 417-nucleotide long non-coding RNA. RefSeq lists it as uncharacterized. NCBI's taxonomy places the organism in Eukaryota, Metazoa, Chordata, Actinopteri, Cypriniformes, Xenocyprididae. The transcript has 3 exons. The record is from RefSeq and is a predicted model, not a curated record.